AUGACAUCAUCGAUGAUGCGGUGGGUUUCGUGGCGGCAGCGGAGAUGCUGAGGGAGAGGGGGGCGGGGACGAUCAUCGCCGUGGCAACGCACGCCAUCCUGUCCGCGGACGCUCCCAGGAUCCUCCAGGAGUCAGUCAUUAGUCAGAGAGGAGAGGAGGAUGUGAAGUUAAAGAACAUGGGUUCUUGGCCCAGCGUUCUCAGUCCACCCCCGCCUCCGCUGUCCGCUCCUCUAGCGACAGCUUCGAACAGGUCCGUCGCGUCGCCCGAGAGAAGGAGAGAGAGAAACAGCUAAAAGCACAGGCCAGGAGAGAGCAGGAGAAACUACGUAGCCUUGACGACGAGGACUCUGUGGACCAGCAGAGGGAGCUGGCGAGACGCCGCGAGCAGGAAAGGAGGAGGAGAGAGAUGGCGGACACCAUUGACAUCAACUUCCAGAGCGACUUGAUGGUCAUCUUUGAAGAGAACCUUUUCUGAGAGAGAGAUUGAGAAAGGAGGAGAGGGAGAGAAAGAGAUAUGAACUCUACCUUAUCCCACCAUGGCUGGGAUUUCACACACAACACCCUCCCUCCCUCUGAUUAGAGACCCCAGACCAGGAUGUGAGCUCCAGAGACUUGAAGGAGACUGAGGUGAGGUACAGUAAUAAGGAGUAGCCCUCCCUCCCUCCCUCUGAUUAGAGACCCCAGACCAGG
Salmo salar (Atlantic salmon) is the source of this 690-nucleotide long non-coding RNA. RefSeq lists it as uncharacterized. Lineage: Eukaryota; Metazoa; Chordata; Actinopteri; Salmoniformes; Salmonidae. The record is from RefSeq and is a predicted model, not a curated record.